RNAcentral lists this transfer RNA (72 nucleotides) under Trichobilharzia regenti. It matches the Rfam family "tRNA". Rfam says of the family: Transfer RNA (tRNA) molecules are approximately 80 nucleotides in length. The record is from Rfam by way of RNAcentral. Lineage: Eukaryota; Metazoa; Platyhelminthes; Trematoda; Strigeidida; Schistosomatidae.
GGCCUUAAAGUGUAGCGGUUAGCACUCUGUACUCUGAACCUAGAGACCCGGGUUCAAGUCUAGGUAAGGCCU